RNAcentral lists this unclassified non-coding RNA (219 nucleotides) under Hevea brasiliensis (rubber tree). The record is from RNAcentral. Lineage: Eukaryota; Viridiplantae; Streptophyta; Magnoliopsida; Malpighiales; Euphorbiaceae.
GCCAUGUGAGUUUUUCUGCUCUUCAUUUGUAAACUGUACCAUUAGAUUGAAAUGUUUGAAAAUCAAUUGUACUUUAUCUGAUUCUCAGGCUUGUGUUUCUGACUACUCUUUCUAGUUCUUCAUCCUUGCUGUUGACUUUAGAAAUUAUAAUAUUUUCUUUCAACACUUCUAUUAUAUUCAUGCAGUUAAAGAGGCCAUUUUUCUCUCCUUCAAUUGUCA